AUUGAACGCUGGCGGCAUGCCUUACACAUGCAAGUCGAACGGUAACAGGUCUUUCGGGAUGCUGACGAGUGGCGAACGGGUGAGUAAUACAUCGGAACGUGCCUAGAAGUGGGGGAUAACUACUCGAAAGAGUGGCUAAUACCGCAUGAGAUCUAUGGAUGAAAGCAGGGGACCUUUGGGCCUUGUGCUACUAGAGCGGCCGAUGGCAGAUUAGGUAGUUGGUGGGAUAAAAGCUUACCAAGCCUACGAUCUGUAGCUGGUCUGAGAGGACGAUCAGCCACACUGGGACUGAGACACGGCCCAGACUCCUACGGGAGGCAGCAGUGGGGAAUUUUGGACAAUGGGCGCAAGCCUGAUCCAGCAAUGCCGCGUGCAGGAUGAAGGCCUUCGGGUUGUAAACUGCUUUUGUACGGAACGAAAAGUCUUGGGUUAAUACCCUGGGAUCAUGACGGUACCGUAAGAAUAAGCACCGGCUAACUACGUG
This 484-nucleotide ribosomal RNA is filed under the name uncultured bacterium. Its description in RNAcentral is "partial 16S ribosomal RNA". It matches the Rfam family "Bacterial small subunit ribosomal RNA", at positions 30 to 507 of the family's 1533-position model. The record is from RNAcentral.